CAAGAUGCUGCCCGAGGAGGAAGCCGAGCCGGCCCAGAGGGUGGCCACCCUCUGCAAGGCCGAGCAGAGGCGUGGCAACAUCGAGGAAAGGCUGCGCCAGAUGGAGGCCCAGCUGGAGGAAAAGAAACAAGAACUGCAGCGGAUGUAAAGGCACAGGUCAGGGUAGAUGUUCCUAAGAAGAGGAAUAGCAUAAUCGUGACUUGACGAAAGGGAGGCCCCUGUCCCUUGAAUCCCCUGAGACUUUUCCUUGGGUAGCU
Long non-coding RNA from Neofelis nebulosa (Clouded leopard), 257 nucleotides. RefSeq lists it as uncharacterized. The transcript is spliced from 3 exons. The record is from RefSeq and is a predicted model, not a curated record. Lineage: Eukaryota; Metazoa; Chordata; Mammalia; Carnivora; Felidae.